This is a non-coding RNA of Cinara cedri, 300 nucleotides long. Lineage: Eukaryota; Metazoa; Arthropoda; Insecta; Hemiptera; Aphididae. The record is from the annotation of a GenBank genome assembly.
CUUAUCUAUUUUCCUCCCUCAAAACAAAUAAUUACCAACACAUACGACGGGCGAGUACGAUUCAAUAUAUUCUAGGAGAGGUCGGUCUUGCCCGAUAAAAAACGUGCCAACAUUUUACUCUUCGAAAUUCGUCGUUUUUAAUACGAUUUGUUGUGUUUAAACUCUUAAAAUGGUAUACAAUAUUAAAAUAUAAAAUAUUUGCGUUCAUCUUUCGUAUCCGAAAAUAAUAUCUUUUUUUAAAACUAAAGCCCCGAACUUUUUACUGUUGCGGAAAAAUGUGUUUAUGAGAAAAACGUAAUA